AACGAGACCUUAACCUGCUAACUAGUCCGUAUUACCCCGGUAGUACGCCGACUUCUUAGAGGGACUAUCGGCUCAAGCCGAUGGAAGUUUGAGGCAAUAACAGGUCUGUGAUGCCCUUAGAUGUUCUGGGCCGCACGCGCGUUACACUGACGGGGCCAGCG
This 161-nucleotide ribosomal RNA is filed under the name Acremonium sp. Its description in RNAcentral is "partial large subunit ribosomal RNA". It matches the Rfam family "Eukaryotic small subunit ribosomal RNA", at positions 1334 to 1517 of the family's 1831-position model. The record is from RNAcentral. Lineage: Eukaryota; Fungi; Ascomycota; Sordariomycetes; Hypocreales; Bionectriaceae.